This 776-nucleotide ribosomal RNA is filed under the name Escherichia coli. RNAcentral describes it as "partial 23S ribosomal RNA". It matches the Rfam family "Bacterial large subunit ribosomal RNA", at positions 2155 to 2925 of the family's 2925-position model. Lineage: Bacteria; Pseudomonadati; Pseudomonadota; Gammaproteobacteria; Enterobacterales; Enterobacteriaceae. RNAcentral also lists the same sequence under 1 other name. The record is from RNAcentral.
CUUUGAAGUGUGGACGCCAGUCUGCAUGGAGCCGACCUUGAAAUACCACCCUUUAAUGUUUGAUGUUCUAACGUGGACCCGUGAUCCGGGUUGCGGACAGUGUCUGGUGGGUAGUUUGACUGGGGCGGUCUCCUCCUAAAGAGUAACGGAGGAGCACGAAGGUUGGCUAAUCCUGGUCGGACAUCAGGAGGUUAGUGCAAUGGCAUAAGCCAGCUUGACUGCGAGCGUGACGGCGCGAGCAGGUGCGAAAGCAGGUCAUAGUGAUCCGGUGGUUCUGAAUGGAAGGGCCAUCGCUCAACGGAUAAAAGGUACUCCGGGGAUAACAGGCUGAUACCGCCCAAGAGUUCAUAUCGACGGCGGUGUUUGGCACCUCGAUGUCGGCUCAUCACAUCCUGGGGCUGAAGUAGGUCCCAAGGGUAUGGCUGUUCGCCAUUUAAAGUGGUACGCGAGCUGGGUUUAGAACGUCGUGAGACAGUUCGGUCCCUAUCUGCCGUGGGCGCUGGAGAACUGAGGGGGGCUGCUCCUAGUACGAGAGGACCGGAGUGGACGCAUCACUGGUGUUCGGGUUGUCAUGCCAAUGGCACUGCCCGGUAGCUAAAUGCGGAAGAGAUAAGUGCUGAAAGCAUCUAAGCACGAAACUUGCCCCGAGAUGAGUUCUCCCUGACCCUUUAAGGGUCCUGAAGGAACGUUGAAGACGACGACGUUGAUAGGCCGGGUGUGUAAGCGCAGCGAUGCGUUGAGCUAACCGGUACUAAUGAACCGUGAGGCUUAACCUU